RNAcentral lists this ribosomal RNA (450 nucleotides) under uncultured bacterium. RNAcentral describes it as "bacterial SSU rRNA". It matches the Rfam family "Bacterial small subunit ribosomal RNA", at positions 354 to 796 of the family's 1533-position model. The record is from RNAcentral.
GUGGGGAAUUUUGGACAAUGGGCGAAAGCCUGAUCCAGCCAUGCCGCGUGAGUGAAGAAGGCCUUCGGGUUGUAAAGCUCUUUCGGUGGGGAAGAAAUUGCACGGGUUAAUAGCCUGUGUAGAUGACGGUACCUGGAGAAGAAGCACCGGCUAACUACGUGCCAGCAGCCGCGGUAAUACGUAGGGUGCGAGCGUUAAUCGGAAUUACUGGGCGUAAAGCGUGCGCAGGCGGUUUGGUAAGUCAGAUGUGAAAUCCCCGGGCUCAACCUGGGAACUGCAUUUGAGACUGCCAAGCUGGAGUUUGGCAGAGGGGGGUGGAAUUCCACGUGUAGCAGUGAAAUGCGUAGAGAUGUGGAGGAACACCGAUGGCGAAGGCAGCCCCCUGGGCCAAUACUGACGCUCAUGCACGAAAGCGUGGGGAGCAAACAGGAUUAGAAACCCUGGUAGUCC